RNAcentral lists this transfer RNA (65 nucleotides) under Rhabdoblatta nigrovittata. Its description in RNAcentral is "tRNA-Leu". Lineage: Eukaryota; Metazoa; Arthropoda; Insecta; Blattodea; Blaberidae. The record is from RNAcentral.
ACUAUUUUGGCAGAUAAGUGCAAUAGAGUUAGAAUCUAUAAAUGUAAUUAAUGUUACAGAUAGUA